GAUGAACGCUGGCGGUAUGCUUAACACAUGCAAGUCGAACGGGGUGCAUAGUCACCUAGUGGCGGACGGGUGAGUAACGCGUGAGAAUCUGGCCUCAGGUCCGGGACAACCACGGGAAACGGUGGCUAAUACCGGAUGUGCCAUAUUGGUGAAAGAUUAAUUGCCUGAGGAUGAGCUCGCGUCUGAUUAGCUAGUUGGUGGGGUAAAGGCUUACCAAGGCGACGAUCAGUAACUGGUCUGAGAGGAUGACCAGUCACACUGGGACUGAGACACGGCCCAGACUCCUACGGGAGGCAGCAGUGGGGAAUUUUCCGCAAUGGGCGAAAGCCUGACGGAGCAAUACCGCGUGAGGGAGGAAGGCUCUUGGGUUGGAAACCUCUUUUCUCAGGGAAGAAGAAUGACGGUACCUGAGGAAUCAGCAUCGGCUAACUCCGUG
This 436-nucleotide ribosomal RNA is filed under the name uncultured bacterium. RNAcentral describes it as "partial 16S ribosomal RNA". It matches the Rfam family "Bacterial small subunit ribosomal RNA", at positions 28 to 507 of the family's 1533-position model. The record is from RNAcentral.